Molecule: ribosomal RNA, 253 nt
Filed under: uncultured bacterium
Lineage: Bacteria
Description: partial 16S ribosomal RNA
Rfam family: Bacterial small subunit ribosomal RNA
Source: RNAcentral
GACAGAGGGUGCAAACGUUGUUCGGAUUUACUGGGCGUAAAGCGCGUGUAGGCGGCUUGGCAAGUCGGAUGUGAAAGCCCACGGCUCAGCCGUGGAAGCGCAUCCGAAACGGCCUCGCUCGAGUCUCGGAGAGGAAGGUGGAAUGCUUGGUGUAGAGGUGAAAUUCGUAGAUAUCAAGCAGAACACCUGCGGCGAAGGCGGCCUUCUGGACGAUGACUGACGCUGAGACGCGAAAGCGUGGGGAGCAAACAGG